AUCAAGUUUGCCCCCAUCCCUCUCAUGAUCUCCACCUCACACCUAUCAAGUGAUGCAAAGGGAAACAUUGACAGGUUCCAGUCUUCCUGGUCAAGGUAAUCACCCUCCUUUGUCCUGACCAUUCCUGGAUGGUUUGCCAUUGUCUCUGGAAUGGCUACCUGUCUGGCGCUCAGGGGCCAGGAUGCGAGCAAUUCUCUCCCAUGCAAGAGGUUGCUGAGUACCUGAUCUCAGGCUUGAGCGAUUAUGGCUGCCCACAUCCCAGGCUCCCCUCUUGGUAGCCAUUCCUUUUCUGAACAGAACAAAGUUGGAAUGGUGCAAAUCCAAACUGGAGUGAUUUUGUAUGACUUUCUAAAGUUUUCCCAGGGAGCCAGUGCGUAAACACAUUUAUCAGUGAAUUGUUGCAUUUGGUAAUGUGCAGCAGAGGCCCUUUGAAUAGAGAUGGGGGGGCACCUGUGUGCUGAAGUGUUUUGUGGGGACAGAUGCAGGAGUGAUUGUGUUGAUUUUGGUUGUGUGUGUGUGUGUGUGUGUGUGUGUGUGUGUGUGUGUGUGAAUGACGUCCGCUGGAGGGGCAACCCCCCCCCCAACCUUUGCAUAAAUUCCAGUAACACCAUAUAGAUAUAUACAAUUAAUGUGCAUGAACUGCUCUGUCCCUGAAGUGCAACGAACCCACUGGGCUGCACCCCAAAAGAUGCUCCCGGGCUCAGGACUCUUCCAUUUUUGUCAGCGAAUGUCAGAACAUGAGAGCAGACCUCUUGCAUCAGACCAGCGCCCCGUCCGCUUCUCAGAGUUGCAUGGCAUUUGCCUUUCCCAAAGCCGCCACACGUUGGGCCACCAUCUUCGCCCAGGUCCCCACUGCAACCCCAAGUUCUCCUUCCUGUUCAGUCACCAGCACCUCAGACCCCGGGAGCAGACGUGCGAAAUCGAGAGCAUCUUUGUGCCCUGACACAGAAGAAGAAGAAGAAGAGUUUGGAUUUGAUAUCCCGCCUUUCACUCCCCUUCAGGAGUCUCAAAGCGGCUAACAUUCUCCUUCCCCCCCCCCACAACAAACACUCUGUGAGGUGAGUGGGGCUGAGAGACUUCAAGGAAGUGUGACUGGCCCAAGGUCACCCAGCAGCUGCAUGUGGAGGAGCGGAGACACGAACCCGGUUCCCCAGAUUAUGAGACUACCGCUCUUAACCACUACACCACACUGCACCACAGAUCCCUUUGCAGCUGUUUACAACCCAGCUAGACGGAGCUGAGGAGCCUCAGAGCACGGCCUGGAUGGUGGUGUCGGGGAGAGGACUCUGGGCUUCCUGAAAACAUAAAGGGACCCAAGGAUCAUCUAGUCCAGCCACUGCAGUGCAGGAAUCACUAUUAUUUAUCAUUAUGUCUAGGCACCAGAAAGGGAUCGGCAUCACCUGAACCCCCCUGGAGCCAGACUUCUGGCCCCUAAGAUCUAGAAGGCAGCAGAGCAGUUUCUGGAGGGACCCCCAAGGGAGAAGCUGGCAGGAGAACGGGGCCUUUUCUGCAGUGGCUCCUCAUCUGUGGAAUGCUCUCCCCAGGCAAGUUCGCCUGGCGCCUUCACCAUUAGGCACUUUUUUAACCAGGCCUUUGGUUGACCUGAUCAACAUCCCAUACUCUUAAAAUGUGACUCUUUUGGGGGGUA
RNAcentral lists this long non-coding RNA (1648 nucleotides) under Podarcis lilfordi (Lilford's wall lizard). Lineage: Eukaryota; Metazoa; Chordata; Lepidosauria; Squamata; Lacertidae. The record is from RNAcentral.